UCGGGAAUUUUGGGCAAUGGGCGAAAGCCUGACCCAGCAACGCCGCGUGAAGGAUGAAAUCCCUCGGGAUGUAAACUUCGCAAGAACGGGAAGAAUAAGUAAGGGUUAAUAUCUCUUACGAUGACGGUACUGUUUGUAAGCUCCGGCUAACUCCGUGCCAGCAGCCGCGGUAAUACGGGGGGAGCAAGCGUUGUUCGGAUUUACUGGGCGUAAAGGGCGCGUAGGCGGCCACCGCAAGUCGACUGUGAAAUCUCCGGGCUUAACCCGGAAAGGUCAGCCGAUACUGCGGGGCUAGAGUGCAGAAGGGGCAACUGGAAUUCUCGGUGUAGCGGUGAAAUGCGUAGAUAUCGAGAGGAACACCUGCGGCGAAGGCGGGUUGCUGGGCUGACACUGACGCUGAGGCGCGAAAGCUAGGGGAGCGAACGGGAUUAGAUACCCCGGUAGUCCUAGCCUUAAACGAUGAAUGCUUGGUGUCUGGGGUUUUAUAGUCCCCGGGUGCCGCGUCUAACGCUUUAAGCAUUCCGCCUGGGG
This 531-nucleotide ribosomal RNA is filed under the name uncultured bacterium. Its description in RNAcentral is "bacterial SSU rRNA". It matches the Rfam family "Bacterial small subunit ribosomal RNA", at positions 355 to 878 of the family's 1533-position model. The record is from RNAcentral.